UACGUAGGUGGCGAGCGUUGUCCGGAUUUACUGGGCGUAAAGAGCGCGCAGGCGGUCGUACAAGUCGCGUGUGAAAGCCCCCGGCUCAACUGGGGAGGGUCACGCGAUACUGUUCGACUCGAAGGCAGGAGAGGGAAGCGGAAUUCCCGGUGUAGUGGCGAAAUGCGUAGAUAUCGGGAGGAACACCAGUGGCGAAGGCGACUUCCUGACCUGUUCUUGACGCUGAGGCGCGAAAGCUAGGGUAGCAAACGGG
RNAcentral lists this ribosomal RNA (253 nucleotides) under uncultured bacterium. Its description in RNAcentral is "partial 16S ribosomal RNA". It matches the Rfam family "Bacterial small subunit ribosomal RNA", at positions 524 to 776 of the family's 1533-position model. The record is from RNAcentral.